This is a long non-coding RNA of Sinocyclocheilus grahami, 435 nucleotides long. RefSeq lists it as uncharacterized. The transcript is spliced from 3 exons. The record is from RefSeq and is a predicted model, not a curated record. NCBI's taxonomy places the organism in Eukaryota, Metazoa, Chordata, Actinopteri, Cypriniformes, Cyprinidae.
CAGCCUUUUGAAUUUUUUAUUUUUUUUGUAUUAUAUAAUCAAGCAAAAUUUGUUAUUUCCCACAAAAUCAUUGGUAGGGGAAGAGUUCCUGGGCAGAAUCAGGAUACUGCUGGUGGUCAAGUGCAGGAGUCAUUUGCUGUGAAUGGACAAAUGAGUGCAACUGCAGGCUUCUCCACAAGUGCAGAUGCUUUGGGUGCUCAUAGCCUAACGUUCACAGAUGGUGUGUCUCCAGGAUUCAUAGCACCUGAUGGCAUGGGCGGCAACGGCCAUGAGCUGAUGAACAGAGAUGAACGCUAUGAAAAAGAGAAGUGUGUGCAUCCAAAGGGAAAGAAGAAAAAGGUUAAGAGAGGGGAGAACACAGCUUCACCAUUAAGGAAGAAACCCAUUCAGUCAGCAUCUGACAUUAAUGAAAUGUGAUUUGAUUAAUAAGAUAAA